Molecule: transfer RNA, 87 nt
Filed under: Desulfatiglans anilini
Lineage: Bacteria; Pseudomonadati; Thermodesulfobacteriota; Desulfobacteria; Desulfatiglandales; Desulfatiglandaceae
Also listed under: 1 other name
Rfam family: tRNA
About the family: Transfer RNA (tRNA) molecules are approximately 80 nucleotides in length. Their secondary structure includes four short double-helical elements and three loops (D, anti-codon, and T loops).
Source: RNAcentral
GCCGAAGUGGUGGAAUUUGGUAGACACGCUAUCUUGAGGGGGUAGUGGCCGACGGCCGUGCGGGUUCAAAUCCCGCCUUCGGCACCA